This 610-nucleotide ribosomal RNA is filed under the name Sordariomycetes sp. Its description in RNAcentral is "eukaryotic LSU rRNA". It matches the Rfam family "Eukaryotic large subunit ribosomal RNA", at positions 1 to 575 of the family's 3401-position model. Lineage: Eukaryota; Fungi; Ascomycota; Sordariomycetes. The record is from RNAcentral.
GAAGCCGGCCCGGGUCCUGCCGUAAAACCCCCUAUAUUUUUCUGGUUGACCUCGGAUCAGGUAGGAAUACCCGCUGAACUUAAGCAUAUCAAUAAGCGGAGGAAAAGAAACCAACAGGGAUUGCCCUAGUAACGGCGAGUGAAGCGGCAACAGCUCAAAUUUGAAAUCUGGCCUUCGGGUCCGAGUUGUAAUUUGCAGAGGAUGCUUUUGGCGCGGUGCCUUCCGAGUUCCCUGGAACGGGACGCCUUAGAGGGUGAGAGCCCCGUACGGUUGGACACCAAGCCUCUGUAAAGCUCCUUCGACGAGUCGAGUAGUUUGGGAAUGCUGCUCUAAAUGGGAGGUAAAUUUCUUCUAAAGCUAAAUACCGGCCAGAGACCGAUAGCGCACAAGUAGAGUGAUCGAAAGAUGAAAAGCACUUUGAAAAGAGGGUUAAAUAGCACGUGAAAUUGUUGAAAGGGAAGCGUUUACGGCCAGACCUUUUCCUGGCGGAUCAUCUGGUGUUCUCACCAGUGCACUUCGCCAGGUUUAGGCCAGCAUCGGCUUCUGUAGGGGGAUAAAAGCAGUGGGAAAGUAGCUCCCUCGGGAGUGUUAUAGCCCUAAGCAUAAUACC